GAAGGGGUGUAUUUAUUAGAUAAAAAACCAAUGCCCUUCGGGGCUCUUUGGUGAUUCAUGAUAACUUUACGGAUCGCAUAGCCUUGCGCUGGCGACGGUUCAUUCAAAUUUCUGCCCUAUCAACUUUCGAUGGUAAGGUAUUGGCUUACCAUGGUUUCAACGGGUAACGGGGAAUUAGGGUUCGAUUCCGGAGAGGGAGCCUGAGAAACGGCUACCACAUCCAAGGAAGGCAGCAGGCGCGCAAAUUACCCAAUCCCGACACGGGGAGGUAGUGACAAUAAAUACUGAUACAGGGCUCUUUUGGGUCUUGUAAUUGGAAUGAGUACAAUUUAAACCUCUUAACGAGGAACAAUUGGAGGGCAAGUCUGGUGCCAGCAGCCGCGGUAAUUCCAGCUCCAAUAGCGUAUAUUAAAGUUGUUGCAGUUAAAAAGCUCGUAGUUGAAACUUGGGCCUGGCUGGCGGGUCCGCCCUCACCGCGUGCACUCGUCCGGCCGGGCCUUCCUUCUGAAGACCUCUGGCCUUUCCUGGGCGUGGUGGGGAAUCAGGACUUUACUUUGAAAAAUUAGAUGGUC
This 572-nucleotide ribosomal RNA is filed under the name Alternaria brassicae. RNAcentral's name for it is "SSU rRNA". It matches the Rfam family "Eukaryotic small subunit ribosomal RNA", at positions 195 to 776 of the family's 1831-position model. The record is from RNAcentral. Lineage: Eukaryota; Fungi; Ascomycota; Dothideomycetes; Pleosporales; Pleosporaceae.